This 29-nucleotide non-coding RNA is filed under the name Homo sapiens (human). The record is from RNAcentral. Lineage: Eukaryota; Metazoa; Chordata; Mammalia; Primates; Hominidae.
UUUGCAUGACAUGCAGGAUGUAUCUGAGA